CUGAAUCUGUCUAUUACAUUUAUUCUAGUAAGAAAACAAUUCCAAUCACUCCUAAUUUCAAACAAUUAGAGAUCCAAAAGCAAAACAGAACAAGAGAUUUUUACAUUGCAAUCCGUUGACCAUUCUUGAAUCCGCGAUCAGCAGACAAUUCCAAAGCGAAAUCUUCAACACGAACCACAGAUUCUACAAUCUGGAAUACGAUUCACGGGAACAAACAACCUUUUUCUGAACAAGAAAAUGCGAUUAUCCGUUAAAUACGAG
RNAcentral lists this unclassified non-coding RNA (261 nucleotides) under Hevea brasiliensis (rubber tree). The record is from RNAcentral. Lineage: Eukaryota; Viridiplantae; Streptophyta; Magnoliopsida; Malpighiales; Euphorbiaceae.